This 579-nucleotide ribosomal RNA is filed under the name Trichoderma sp. FL-2010g. RNAcentral's name for it is "eukaryotic LSU rRNA". The stretch from base 205 to 358 matches the Rfam family "5.8S ribosomal RNA". Lineage: Eukaryota; Fungi; Ascomycota; Sordariomycetes; Hypocreales; Hypocreaceae. The record is from RNAcentral.
UUACCGAGUUUACAACUCCCAAACCCAAUGUGAACGUUACCAAACUGUUGCCUCGGCGGGAUCUCUGCCCCGGGUGCGUCGCAGCCCCGGACCAAGGCGCCCGCCGGAGGACCAACCAAAACUCUUAUUGUAUACCCCCUCGCGGGUUUUUUUAUAAUCUGAGCCUUCUCGGCGCCUCUCGUAGGCGUUUCGAAAAUGAAUCAAAACUUUCAACAACGGAUCUCUUGGUUCUGGCAUCGAUGAAGAACGCAGCGAAAUGCGAUAAGUAAUGUGAAUUGCAGAAUUCAGUGAAUCAUCGAAUCUUUGAACGCACAUUGCGCCCGCCAGUAUUCUGGCGGGCAUGCCUGUCCGAGCGUCAUUUCAACCCUCGAACCCCUCCGGGGGGUCGGCGUUGGGGAUCGGCCCUGCCUCUUGGCGGCGGCCGUCUCCGAAAUACAGUGGCGGUCUCGCCGCAGCCUCUCCUGCGCAGUAGUUUGCACACUCGCAUCGGGAGCGCGGCGCGUCCACAGCCGUUAAACACCCAACUUCUGAAAUGUUGACCUCGGAUCAGGUAGGAAUACCCGCUGAACUUAAGCAUAU